Molecule: non-coding RNA, 75 nt
Organism: Pangasianodon gigas (Mekong giant catfish)
Lineage: Eukaryota; Metazoa; Chordata; Actinopteri; Siluriformes; Pangasiidae
Source: the annotation of a GenBank genome assembly
GGUAGUUGGUAGUUCUGUGGCUAAGGCAUUGGUCUACUGAUCGGAAGGUCAUGAGUUCAAAUCCCAGCACUGCCA